This 252-nucleotide ribosomal RNA is filed under the name uncultured bacterium. RNAcentral describes it as "partial 16S ribosomal RNA". It matches the Rfam family "Bacterial small subunit ribosomal RNA", at positions 524 to 776 of the family's 1533-position model. The record is from RNAcentral.
UACGUAGGGUGCAAGCGUUAAUCGGAAUUACUGGGCGUAAAGCGUGCGCAGGCGGUUUUGUAAGUCUGUCGUGAAAUCCCCGGGCUCAACCUGGGAAUUGCGAUGGAGACUGCAAGGCUGGAGUCUGGCAGAGGGGGGUAGAAUUCCACGUGUAGCAGUGAAAUGCGUAGAGAUGUGGAGGAACACCGAUGGCGAAGGCAGCCUCCUGGGCCAACACUGACGCUCAUGCACGAAAGCGUGGGAGCAAACAGG